Molecule: long non-coding RNA, 438 nt
Filed under: Penaeus japonicus
Lineage: Eukaryota; Metazoa; Arthropoda; Malacostraca; Decapoda; Penaeidae
Description: uncharacterized LOC122249961
Source: RNAcentral
GCCUACCACGCCCCCGAACCCGCCUACCACGCCCCCGAACCCGCCUACCCUGAUGUGCCCCCGAAGUACAACUAUAACUACGGUGUCGCCGACGGCUACUCCGGCGCCAACUUCGGCCACUCGGAGUCCCGCGACGGCUACAAGACCGAGGGCAGCUACACCGUGGACCUCCCCGACGGCCGCAAGCAGAUCGUCAAAUACGUGGACAACGGCGACGGUCUCGUAGCUGAGGUCACCUACGAGGGCGAGGCUCAGUACCCCGAGCACACCCCCGCCUACAAGCCCGCUCCCCCCUCCUACGCACCCCCUCCCCCCACCUAUGCAUAAGUCCUGAAAGGUUUUAGAGAAAAUUAUAUGAGAAAAUAUAUCAGGAACAUAUCACUAACUAAUCAUAUUCAUUUUAUCAUAUAUGAAAUAAAAUCUUAUUUUUUCUAUGAA